Molecule: ribosomal RNA, 546 nt
Filed under: uncultured bacterium
Lineage: Bacteria
Description: partial 16S ribosomal RNA
Rfam family: Bacterial small subunit ribosomal RNA
Source: RNAcentral
UGGGGAAUUUUGGACAAUGGGCGCAAGCCUGAUCCAGCCAUGCCGCGUGCGGGAAGAAGGCCUUCGGGUUGUAAACCGCUUUUGUCAGGGAAGAAAUCUUCUGAGUUAAUACCUCGGGAGGAUGACGGUACCUGAAGAAUAAGCACCGGCUAACUACGUGCCAGCAGCCGCGGUAAUACGUAGGGUGCAAGCGCUAAUCGGAAUUACUGGGCGUAAAGCGUGCGCAGGCGGUUUUGUAAGACAGAGGUGAAAUCCCCGGGCUCAACCUGGGAACUGCCUUUGUGACUGCAAGGCUUGAGUGCGGCAGAGGGGGGAUGGAAUUCCGCGUGUAGCAGUGAAAUGCGUAGAUAUGCGGAGGAACACCGAUGGCGAAGGCAAAUCCCCUGGGCCUGCACUGACGCUCAUGCACGAAAGCGUGGGGAGCAAACAGGAUUAGAUACCCUGGUAGUCCACGCCCUAAAACGAUGUCAACUGGUUGUUGGGAAGGUUCCUUCUCAGUAACGUAGCUAACGCGUGAAGUUGACCGCCUGGGGAGUACGGCCGCAA